This 242-nucleotide long non-coding RNA is filed under the name Cavia porcellus (domestic guinea pig). RNAcentral describes it as "lncRNA (ENSCPOG00000034016.1)". Lineage: Eukaryota; Metazoa; Chordata; Mammalia; Rodentia; Caviidae. The record is from RNAcentral.
GUUGUGAACUUCUCUGUACUUUCCUGUGAGUUUCACUCAGAAGACUUCAAAGGAGAAGUGGAACACACUGUCCUGAAAGACACUAUGAUUUGUGGCGGGAAGACCCAAGGGUCAGCGGUGGAAGCGAGAAAGUCUAUGCCAGCAGGAUGAAGGAGCUGUGCUAGGGGGAUGAGGGUUCUACACUGGAGCCGAGAAGUCACACUCACAAUAAAGAGCAAGGCUGUCCUGAAAGGAACCACAGC